GCCGGGCGUGGUGGCACACGCCUGUAAUACCAGAGCUCGGGAGGCUGAGGCAGGAGCAUAGCCAGUUCAAAACCAGCCUCAGUAAUAGGAGGUGCUAAGCAAAUCAGUGAGACCCUGUCUCUA
RNAcentral lists this small RNA (123 nucleotides) under Marmota monax (woodchuck). Lineage: Eukaryota; Metazoa; Chordata; Mammalia; Rodentia; Sciuridae. The record is from RNAcentral.